This 228-nucleotide ribosomal RNA is filed under the name uncultured bacterium. RNAcentral's name for it is "partial 16S ribosomal RNA". It matches the Rfam family "Bacterial small subunit ribosomal RNA", at positions 568 to 795 of the family's 1533-position model. The record is from RNAcentral.
UACGUAGGCGGAAUAUUAAGUCAGUGGUGAAAUCCUGCGGCUCAACCGUAGAACUGCCAUUGAUACUGAUAUUCUUGAAUGUAGUUGAGGUAGGCGGAAUGUGUAAUGUAGCGGUGAAAUGCUUAGAUAUUACACAGAACACCGAUUGCGAAGGCAGCUUACUAAACCAUGAUUGACGCUGAUGUACGAAAGCGUGGGGAGCGAACAGGAUUAGAUACCCUGGUAGUC